UUAACCUCAUCGAUCGUCAUCUAAACAAAUAAUGUGGAAGUCAGAGAUGCAUUAAGGAAUGAUCACACCAUUUAUAAUGAUAUUAAUACAAUACUGAUAAGCUUUGCAACUAAUAAGAAAAUCCAUGUGAAGGUAACCCUUCCAUAUCAUUGGAAAAACCAUGUUUUAAUGUUUGUGUAAAUGCAAACACACACAGAGAACAUAAAUAGUGAGAAGACUGUCUGAAGUAUCAUUAAAAGUUUGAAAUAAAACCUGCACAGCAGCGGCUGUUUCCAAGGCUAUCUUCUGACUC
RNAcentral lists this long non-coding RNA (292 nucleotides) under Helianthus annuus (common sunflower). Its description in RNAcentral is "hypothetical non coding rna". Lineage: Eukaryota; Viridiplantae; Streptophyta; Magnoliopsida; Asterales; Asteraceae. The record is from RNAcentral.